Molecule: transfer RNA, 67 nt
Filed under: Aphelasterias japonica
Lineage: Eukaryota; Metazoa; Echinodermata; Asteroidea; Forcipulatida; Asteriidae
Description: tRNA-Glu
Rfam family: tRNA
About the family: Transfer RNA (tRNA) molecules are approximately 80 nucleotides in length. Their secondary structure includes four short double-helical elements and three loops (D, anti-codon, and T loops).
Source: RNAcentral
AUUUUCGUAGUUGAGACAACAAUAACUUUUCACGUUAUAGGCUUAGGUUAAAACCCUAACGGGAAUC